This 204-nucleotide ribosomal RNA is filed under the name uncultured Pseudomonas sp. Its description in RNAcentral is "partial 16S ribosomal RNA". It matches the Rfam family "Bacterial small subunit ribosomal RNA", at positions 1179 to 1382 of the family's 1533-position model. Lineage: Bacteria; Pseudomonadati; Pseudomonadota; Gammaproteobacteria; Pseudomonadales; Pseudomonadaceae. The record is from RNAcentral.
AUGACGUCAAGUCAUCAUGGCCCUUACGGCCAGGGCUACACACGUGCUACAAUGGUCGGUACAAAGGGUUGCCAAGCCGCGAGGUAGAGCUAAUCCCAUAAAACCGAUCGUAGUCCGGAUCGCAGUCUGCAACUCGACUGCGUGAAGUCGGAAUCGCUAGUAAUCGUGAAUCAGAAUGUCACGGUGAAUACGUUCCCGGGCCUU